Molecule: ribosomal RNA, 337 nt
Filed under: Ptychadena mascareniensis (Masarene ridged frog)
Lineage: Eukaryota; Metazoa; Chordata; Amphibia; Anura; Ptychadenidae
Description: partial 12S ribosomal RNA
Rfam family: Bacterial small subunit ribosomal RNA
Source: RNAcentral
UAUUACAAGCUCAGCUUAAAAUCCAAAGGACUUGACGGUGUCCCACAUCCUUCUAGAGGAGCCUGCCCUACAAUCGAUUAUUCCCGCUAGACCCUACCAUCUCUUGCAACCCCAGCUUGUAUACUUCCGACGCAAGUUUACCAUUUGAACGAUCAGUGGACCUAAUGUUCCAGUUUAACCAGUACGUCAGGUCAAGGUGCAGCCUAUGAGAUGGGAGAGGUGGGCUACAAUUUCUAAUCUAGAACAAACGAACUACUGCAUGAAAACACAGUAUGAAGGAGGAUUUAGUAGUAAAAAGAAAUCAGCGAGUUCUUUUUAACAUGGCCCUGGGGCGUGU